This 261-nucleotide long non-coding RNA is filed under the name Elaeis guineensis (African oil palm). RNAcentral's name for it is "long non-coding RNA (EGUI_LNC047287)". The record is from RNAcentral. Lineage: Eukaryota; Viridiplantae; Streptophyta; Magnoliopsida; Arecales; Arecaceae.
UCCUUGCAAUCAGAAUGGCCAAAAGAAGGGUUGGUUGAAGCCUGAUUCAGAUGUAUUCAGAUCAGGUGCGGGAAGACUUCGGCCAUGGAACUUAGUAUAGCCAAGGGUGAAAUGUACUUACGACGGAUCGAUGAUCCUCUUCGGCUAGUCCCAAUCCAUGCAGCCUCGAUUGGACAUACUGGAGUAGGGGAGAACCUUGAGAGCACAAAAUAAGGAGUCGGAGAAUGGAUGUGUGCGGUAAGGUGUAGAUAGGGGGCCCAC